RNAcentral lists this ribosomal RNA (723 nucleotides) under Triticum aestivum (bread wheat). Its description in RNAcentral is "partial small subunit ribosomal RNA". The record is from RNAcentral. Lineage: Eukaryota; Viridiplantae; Streptophyta; Magnoliopsida; Poales; Poaceae.
AUGUCUGAAUGGAUCUUCAAAGUGCCCGCCAGGCACCACGAACGGCUUGGGCCGCCUCCCUGCCAAGCGUACGAUAUCCGGCCGUUUUGUGACCCAUCGUGGCCGACCUGUGAAAGAUCAAUCGUGCACGCGGGAAGUGACAACUGUUGUGAAAAACACAGCAGCCGGGACGUAAAAGAGCGAGAGAAGAUGGCGGAGGAAGCGAAGCAGGAUGUGGCGCCACCCGCGCCGGAGCCGACCGAGGACGUCGCGGACGAGAAGGCGGCGGUUCCGUCGCCGGAGGAGUCUAAGGCCCUCGUUGUCGCCGAGAAUGACGCUGAGAAGCCUGCAGCUACAGGGGGCUCACACGAACGAGAUGCUCUGCUCACGAGGGUCGCGACCGAGAAGAGGAUUUCGCUGAUCAAGGCAUGGGAGGAGAACGAGAAGGCCAAAGCCGAGAACAAGGCCGUGAAGUUGCUGGCGGACAUCACCUCGUGGGAGAACUCCAAGGCCGCGGAACUGGAAGCCGAGCUCAAGAAGAUGCAAGAGCAGCUGGAGAAGAAGAAGGCGCGCUGCGUGGAGAAGCUCAAGAACAGCGCCGCGACGGUGCACAAAGAGGCGGAGGAGAAGCGUGCCGCGGCGGAAGCGCGGCACGGCGAGGAGAUCGUCGCGGCGGAGGAGACCGCCGCCAAGUACCGCGCCAAGGGUGAGGCGCCGAAGAAGCUGCUCUUCGGCAGAGGAUAG